UACGUAGGGUGCAAGCGUUAAUCGGAAUUACUGGGCGUAAAGCGUGCGCAGGCGGUUAUGUAAGACAGAUGUGAAAUCCCCCGGCUCAACCGGGGAAGGGGCGCCGAUACGACCGCCCUGGAGGGACGUAGGGGGGGCUGGAACUUCCGGUGGAGCGGUGAAAUGCGUUGAGAUCGGAAGGAACGCCCGUGGCGAAAGCGAGCCCCUGGACGUCUACUGACGCUGAGACGCGAAAGCCAGGGGAGCGAACGGG
This 253-nucleotide ribosomal RNA is filed under the name uncultured bacterium. RNAcentral describes it as "partial 16S ribosomal RNA". It matches the Rfam family "Bacterial small subunit ribosomal RNA", at positions 524 to 776 of the family's 1533-position model. The record is from RNAcentral.